UUGGGCAGGGUGCCCGUGCCCGUGUGAAGCUCCUUCGACGAGUCGAGUUGUUUGGGAAUGCAGCUCUAAAUGGGUGGUAAAUUUCAUCUAAAGCUAAAUACCGGCCGGAGACCGAUAGCGCACAAGUAGAGUGAUCGAAAGAUGAAAAGCACUUUGAAAAGAGAGUUAAACAGCACGUGAAAUUGUUGAAAGGGAAGCGCUUGCGACCAGACUCGGCCUCGGGGUUCAGCCAGCAUUCGUGCUGGUGUACUUCCCCGGGGCCGGGCCAGCGUCGGUUCGGGCGGCCGGUCAAAGGCCCCAGGAAUGUAUCGUCCUCCGGGACGUCUUAUAGCCUGGGGUGCAAUGCGGCCAGCCUGGACCGAGGAACGCGGACGCUG
RNAcentral lists this ribosomal RNA (377 nucleotides) under Aspergillus versicolor. Its description in RNAcentral is "partial large subunit ribosomal RNA". It matches the Rfam family "Eukaryotic large subunit ribosomal RNA", at positions 224 to 628 of the family's 3401-position model. Lineage: Eukaryota; Fungi; Ascomycota; Eurotiomycetes; Eurotiales; Aspergillaceae. The record is from RNAcentral.